RNAcentral lists this unclassified non-coding RNA (519 nucleotides) under Bombus terrestris (buff-tailed bumblebee). RNAcentral describes it as "misc RNA ENSBTSG00005030595.1". The record is from RNAcentral. Lineage: Eukaryota; Metazoa; Arthropoda; Insecta; Hymenoptera; Apidae.
ACGAGUUGCAUUGGGCACGAGUUAACGAAGACGCAUCAACUGGUCGAAAGAUAAUAUAUGUCCCGUGAAAAAGCCGCUGAUUGCUGUCGCCAUUGUAACGCAUUCUGUGGCAAACGGGACUGACGACACGUGGGACACAUGCAAAUGACAAAACGUUCCAUCAUCAUCUUCGAUACGUCAGCAGUUGGUCCGUGCCGUCAGUCAUUUUUUCAUCCCUGAUGAAUUGGAUCUUCUCCGCGAGUGGAGUAGAAGGAGAAUAAAUGUGUUUAACUUGGGAAGAUCCACUCUGAUGAAAAUUAAUGUCAAAACUUUCACGAGUCGAAUCGAGUCGUGGCAUCGAGAGAGCGAUAUAUCGCGGUCGAUAUAUAUCACUCGGCGAACCACUCGACUUCCAUACGUCCGCUCCGGAGAGCGUACAUAUGUACGCGUGCAUCGCCCGCGGGCUGGCUUCAAGGUCCUCGUUUAGAUAUCCGUUCCCUUCGAGAUUAUUCGAGGCAACGACGACGAAGACGAUGACGA